RNAcentral lists this ribosomal RNA (857 nucleotides) under Linocarpon pandanicola. RNAcentral describes it as "eukaryotic LSU rRNA". It matches the Rfam family "Eukaryotic large subunit ribosomal RNA", at positions 74 to 952 of the family's 3401-position model. Lineage: Eukaryota; Fungi; Ascomycota; Sordariomycetes; Chaetosphaeriales; Linocarpaceae. The record is from RNAcentral.
AUUGCCUCAGUAACGGCGAGUGAAGCGGCAACAGCUCACAUUUGAAAUCUGGCCCCCCGGGCCCGAGUUGUAAUUUGCAGAGACGCCUUCCGUGCCCGGCCCGCCCAAAGUCCCCUGGAACGGGGCGCCGCAGAGGGUGAGAGCCCCGUACGGGCGGGUUCCGGUGCCGUUGUGAAGGCCCUUCGAAGAGUCGAGCAGUUUGGGAAUGCUGCUCUAAGCGGGAGGUAAAUUCCUUCUAAAGCUAAAUACCGGCUGGAGACCGAUAGCGCACAAGUAGAGUGAGCGAAAGAUGAAAAGUACCUUGGAAAGAGGGUCAAACAGCACGUGAAAUUGUUGAAAGGGAAGCGCCCGUGGCCAGACUUGCGGCGGCUCGGUCGCCCGGCGUUCUCGCCGGUGCGCCCGCGUCGUCGCAGGCCAGCACCGGCCCCCGCGGGUCGACAAAGGUCCCGGGAACGUGGCUCCGCUCGCGGAGUGUUACAGCCCGGGGCGCAAUGCCCCCGCGGGAGCCGAGGAUCGCGCUCUGCGCAUGGAUGCCGGCGUAAUGGCCCCCGGCGACCCGUCUUGAAACACGGACCAAGGAGUCAAGGUUUUGCGCGAGUGUUCGGGUGUCAAACCCGCACGCGCAGUGAAAGCAAACGCUGGUGGGAGCCCCGGCGCACCACCGACCGAUCCCGAASGCCUCGGACGGAUUUGAGUAUGAGCGCAGAGCCUUGGACCCGAAAGAUGGUGAACUAUGCUUGGAUAGGGUGAAGCCAGAGGAAACUCUGGUGGAGGCUCGCAGCGGUUCUGCACGUGCAUAAUCGAUCGUACAAAUCUGACGCAUGGGGGGCAAAGAGUAAUCGAACCAUCUAGUAGCU